RNAcentral lists this ribosomal RNA (805 nucleotides) under Aphodius aegrotus (small pocket gopher scarab). RNAcentral describes it as "eukaryotic LSU rRNA". It matches the Rfam family "Eukaryotic large subunit ribosomal RNA", at positions 385 to 957 of the family's 3401-position model. Lineage: Eukaryota; Metazoa; Arthropoda; Insecta; Coleoptera; Scarabaeidae. The record is from RNAcentral.
GAGUUCAAGAGUACGUGAAACCGUUCAGGGGUAAACCUGAGAAACCCGAAAGGUCGAAAGGGGAGAUUCAGACGCGUCUCUUGGUUGUUCGCGUGCAUCGCUCUGUGUGACGGGUGGCGUUCGCGCCGCCCGCGCCGCUCGAUGCCGUCGGACUCCGAACGCGUGCACUUCUCCUCCUGUAGGACGUCGUGACCCGUUGGGCGCCGGCCCAGGGCCCGCGGUGGAGCUCGUUCGCACUUCGGUGCGUUCGAACCCGUGGUCGCCUGGCCGGUCCGACCGACGGUACAGAUAAUGGCGCGGGGCCGCGACUCGUUCGCGUCCGGCACGUCGCAAGCACGAACGGUAAACCUGACAUCCGGACCUGGUGCCGGAUCCGGGCCCGUUCGGCUGCUGGCGGCGUUGUCCUCGGACAGACCCUGUACACGCCAGUCCACGGCGCUAUAGCUUUGGGUACUUUCAGGACCCGUCUUGAAACACGGACCAAGGAGUCUAGCAUGUGCGCGAGUCAUUGGGACUAAAUUAAACCUAAAGGCGCAAUGAAAGUGAAGGUUCGCCUCGCGCGAACCGAGGGAGGAUGGGUCUGGCCACGGACAGACCCCGCACUCCCGGGGCGUCUCAUUCUCAUCGCGAGAAGAGGCGCACCCAGAGCGUACACGCUGGGACCCGAAAGAUGGUGAACUAUGCCUGGUCAGGACGAAGUCAGGGGAAACCCUGAUGGAGGUCCGUAGCGAUUCUGACGUGCAAAUCGAUCGUCGGAACUGGGUAUAGGGGCGAAAGACUAAUCGAACCAUCUAGUAGCUGGUUC